This 287-nucleotide small nuclear RNA is filed under the name Erinaceus europaeus (western European hedgehog). RNAcentral describes it as "7SK RNA". It matches the Rfam family "7SK RNA". From Rfam's summary of the family: 7SK was discovered as an abundant small nuclear RNA in the mid-70s but a possible function has only recently been suggested. Two independent studies have found that 7SK RNA binds the CDK9/cyclin T complex (known as elongation factor P-TEFb). Lineage: Eukaryota; Metazoa; Chordata; Mammalia; Eulipotyphla; Erinaceidae. The record is from Rfam by way of RNAcentral.
AGGUGUGAGGGUGAUCUGGCUGUGACACUUGUCACCCCAGUGAUCGCUAGGGAAGAUUUUGCUGAUUUUAUUGGAUAGGUGGGUGUCCUCUUCCAUCCUCACCACUGUGUGUGCAUUCCUCCUGUAGCUGUCUGUUCAGUCUAAGAGGAUAACCUUCCUGGAACAGAGUAGUUGUACUCCCCUGCUAGAACUUCCAAGAAAACACUCAAGGCACACAACAAUGGCACUGGACUAGUGGAAUAACCACCAACUGGGGAGUGAGUUUCAGAGGUUCUAGUCCCCUCUUU